GACAGGUGACCAGGCAGGGCAGGUGAGUGUCCCAGCAACUGUCCCUUCUCUAUAGGAGGCAUGAACCACAGGGAGCCACUGCUGGAUGAAAAGUCUGGGCUUAAGAUUCCCAUCCAGCAGGUCACAGACCCUGCUCCCUCUGCCAUCAGCAGCAUCCUGGCAGGUCACAGACCCUGCUCCCUCUGCCAUCAGCAGCAUCCUGGCAGGUCACAGACCCUGCUCCCUCUGCCAUCAGCAGCAUCCUGGCAGGUCACAGACCCUGCUCCCUCUGCCAUCAGCAGCAUCCUGGCAGGUCACAGACCCUGCUCCCUGUGCCACCAGCAGCAUCCUAUAAAUCUCCUUGGUCUCCUGAGAACUGCCUCUCCGUGAGGACACAUGGGAUGGGGUGGAAAGGAGUCCUUCAGGUCCCAAUUCGGAGCAGCCCCCAAUACCCUUCCUGUGACUGACCCAGGCUCCAGCUACAGCUGCAGCAGGGGGUGGCAGCUGUCCCCUACAGUGGCAGACUCCAAGCCAGGGAGUACUGGCAGUGAGGGGCCACCUUCUCUGGGCUCCCUGCUGCAGACCGCCCAGGGCACCACCAAGGGCUCAAAGGCUGGGGAGUUCCAGGGAGAGAGCUGCAGGGGCUGCCAGCACAGCGUCCUUUCCCCUCUCCCCUUGGCCCACUCAAUCCACCCCCAAUGAUGAACAUGAAGUAGGGGUGUGGAGGGGUGUGGUGCCCCACUGAGUGGGCCAGGCACCUGUGGCUAUAGCUGGCCCAUUGCCUCCACGGCCUCCCAGAGUGGGCACUCCGCAAGAUCCCAUGUGGCUCAGACCCCUGCAUCAGAGAGCACAGGUGUUACAGGCCCCAGACAUAGAGGUGGGGGGUGUUACAGGCCCCAGACAUAGAGCUGAGCCCGGUCCUCUGUGCUCUGGGGUGGGCAUAAGGACCAAAGCAUCCCUGAGGAGGGAACUGACAGGGCUCACAGCUAGGCUGGAAUCAGAGGCAGACAGGCAGUGCCUGGGAGCUCUGCCCUACCACACCCUACGGCCCCUCUGAGGCACUGUAGGGGACAGCUGUCCAGCAGGCAAGGGGCCUCAGAGGGCAGGUGCAGCAGUUGCUACUCUGGCCACCGGCCUGAGGGCACAGGGCCCUCUGCCUGCAACGCCUGUCCCUCCCUGCCCCAAGACAGUGGGUAGACCCCUUCUUCCCAGCCCCUCUAUCGCCAUGGCAACGCCCAGGCUUCUCCUGAGGGACAGAGCCUCUUUGUGGCAACACAAAGCCCCUUUGAGGGGAGGUGGGGGUGCAGCCCCUGGGAGCCUAUGGCCAAAGGGCCCCUGGGGGGUAAAGCAGGGCCCCCCAGCCCAGCCCUCAUCUCAGGUUGUGGAGCCAAGGAAGCUGAGAUAGGAGAGCCUUGUGGUUAGGGACUGGGACCUGGUGCUGCCCGCCCCAGCUGCCCACCAAGAAUGGUCUCUGGGUGGAUGAGCUGGACAGCCCGGGAGGUCAGGCUGGGCAGAGACAGCACUGAGGAGCCUCUCCGCAGGGGCUUGGGGGGUUCCCACUUCCUCACCCGUUGUUUUGACCAAGAACACAGUCUGCUUAGAUAAAUGGAAAAUGGCACCGGCUGGGGAGCUCCCACCAGUCAGGAAACACCCAGGCCGGCUGCAGAAACAGUGCCUGGUGGGAGACGGGGGCAGGAAGUCCUCUGUGGGAGGGCAGGCAGGGGCCAUGAGAUGGCAGCCUCCGUCUUCACGUGUCCGUCCAGGGGAAUAUGUCACUGACCUUGCUGCAGCCACAACUCUGGGACAGGCCAGUUGGAUAACAAGUAACCUCAUCAUGGCUUGCCUUGUUCCGGGGCUGGGGAAACUGAACCCUGAGGAUGAUGUAGGUCCUUGACACAGUGACAGCAUGGCUGUCCUAGCCAUGCUCCAGCCCCACAGCCAGGAAGGCAGAGGAGGCCAGGCCACAUUUUCCCAGACUCCCACCCCAGAGCCCCUCCUGUCCUGGCCUGAGGUUCCCUGCCCACCCAGCCGACUGCUGCUGACCAGGCACCUGGCAGCUCCCUGCAUUCGGGCACCCUGCCCAGAGGCCCUCCCCAGGUGACCUCAGUCUGACCCGCAGCAGCUUUGCUAACUAAGCCCCUGGGGUGGGGGGGUCAUCGGCCCCCUGUGGCAGCAUGAGGCGGUGCUAGCCCCAGGAGAGAUCCAUCCUUUUGUAGGCAAAUCUAUCCGAGUACCAGGGAGUGGGGCCAAGGGGCUACCCCCACACAGCAGUGCCUGGGUCAGCAAGCACUCCAUGCACCACCCACGGAGACUCCCACCACACCACUACCACCCUGCCUUCCCCAUUAGUAUCCGGCUCUCUGCUGACACCUGCGGGCACAAAGGUAGGGGCUGGGACUCCCCAGCUGCUGUGGCAGGGAGCGGCCAAAGGGUGGUUGCUGUGGUGGAUGGAGGCCAUGUGGUUCAGAAUGGAUCACAGGAAGGUGUGGGUGUGAGAAUAAGUCUGGGCUGACCAUAAGGGCAGGCCUGGGCAGCUGGAGGGAAGGGCUGGGACCAUGAGUGGGAGAGUGCAAUGGGGGUCUGUGAGACUGAAGAGGCUGAGGGACCACUAGAUGAAUGAGGUUCUGGGAGAGAGGGAUUCAGGCUGGAGACAGAACCACUGACAGCUUCAGCCUAUGAAGCCCAGAGACAAGACAGGUGCAAACCGCAGCGCCUCCUCCAAAGGAUCCCCCCAUCCUUCUAGAAUAAGGGGAUAAAGUCACUUUCCCAGCCAUCAUCUUCCCUGCACUGGAAGGGGCAGAACCAGGACCCAGCUCUGAAAGGCUAGAGUGCAAUGGCAUGAUCUUGGCUCACUGCAACCUCCGCCUCCCAGGUUCAAGAGAUUCUCCUGCCUCAGCCUCCUGAGUAGCUGGGAUUACAGGCAUGCACCACCACACUCGGCUAAUUUGUUGUAUUUUUAGUAGAGACAGGGUUUCUCCAUGUUGGUCAGGCUGGUCUUGAACUUGUGACCUGAUCCACCCACCUCAGCCUCCCAAAAUGGAAUUACAGGCAUGAGUCACUGCACCCGGCAGUUUUUAUUGUUUAUAAAGGACUCCGUCUAAGGUAUUUGGUGACAGAUUGUGAAUAAACUGUCUGUGAAUAAGACACACACACGCACACAUACAAGCACACCACACACGGAGACCCAGAGAUGCCCCAUGGGCACACACACCAGCAGGCACACUUGUCCACACCCACGUGGCUGCUGCUUAUCCCCUCUAGAAGUCCUGACAGGCCCUUUUUGCGGGGUGGGAGACAUCUUGGCUCCUGGUGAGGGUCAGCAUGCUUGGUAGACCCCACUCCUGUCUUGGACACCAGGCAAGGCAGACCCCUCUGAAACCCGCAGGCUAAGUCAAGCCUGUCCCUAACACCACAGUCUGCAGGACCCCCUGCCUCUAAUCCCAUGAGGUUCCUCUGGGACAGGUGGGAGUGGCUGGGCCUGUGGACCCUAAGCUUGCACAGACCCACCUGCAGGGAUAAGCACAACUUACAGCACCCUAGUGCCCAGGGAAGAUGCUUCCACCGUAGGAGGACUCGGGGAGCCGCCUCCCACUCAGUCACAUUUAGUGCAUUUCUUAGGAAACAGCUGGUAUGUGCCCUAGAAGGUUCAACUGAGCUGGGAGCAAACAAACCAUAAUGAAAAGGAGCUGCCAUAAAUAAUGAGGAUCCCAUGGAGAUCUUAAAGAAAAACAGGGCAGAGGCAGUAAACAGCAGACAGAACACUGCAGAAAACACGCAGUGUGAGGCUGGAGAGAGCACACUAACACAGUCCCCCCAACAGCAAACGGGAGAGAUGACAAGAGGAUGGUGGGAGCCACAGAAGACAGAGCCCAGGGCCAAACUUCCACAUGACAGGAGUUCCCAGAGGGGAAACCGACAGACAGUGCUCUUCCAACCACAGAAACCACCUCAACAGGAGCGCGCCCAGUGGGGCUGUCAGCAUCGGGGCUGGAAUGUGAGUUAGGGGGUGAGCUUUCUGUCCAGAAAAGAAGCCCAGGAAAUCAAAGCUGUGCCUAUCUCUGGAUUUUACAACUGAGUCUCAUUUCCUCUGGCUCCUAAAUGCGCUGUGUCCACUUCGAGGUAUAGAGAGGAGGCCUGCCCAGCCCUGACCUGCAGGCUACACUGAAGGCUGGGCCAUUCUGUUCCAGGCCGUCCGCAGGCCUUCAGGGGCCGAGUGUGGUCCCUCUGUAAAUGUCAGCCUCAACGCGCUGCCGCUUGCUGCCUGGCUCCCAUCUCUCACAGCUCAGACACUGUUUUACGAUAAGGAAGAGCUGGCAGCUUUGUUAAAACAAACAAACGCCUCUCCUCUUUAUUUGAGAUCUUUUAAAAAGUUAACCUCGCUCUGAAAUCCCAUAAGGAAAAAUUAUGGUGAGGUUUUUGGGUUUUCAGAGGCAGCAAAUUUAUCUCACCUAGAGCUCUGGACUACCCAAAGAAGCACUUUUAAGAACCAAAAGAGGCUGGGCGCGGUGCCUCACCCCUGUAAUCCCAGCACUUUGGGAGGCCAAGGCAGGCGAAUUGCCUGAGCUCAGGAGUUCAAGACCAGCCUCUGAAACAUAAUGAAAUCCCAUCUCUACUAAAAUACAAAAAAUUAGCCCAACAUAGCAGCAUAGGGGAGUUGCUUAAACCUGGGAGGCCAAGAUUGCAGUGAGCUGAGAUUGUGCCACUGCAGUCCAGCCUGGGCAAUGGAGUGAGACUCUGUCUCGGAAAAAAAAAAAAAAAAAAGAAGAGAACAACUCAGGAGUCCAUGAGGCCUUGAUAACCCGAGGGAUCCUGUACUUGCACUGCUGGGAUUCAAAUUUGGGCGCUGCCACCACCAUGAGGUUGUGAGAAGCCCUCAGCGUGCGCACAAAGAUUCCCUGAAGGGAAUAGCAGCUGCUGAUGUGUGGAAUUGAUUUUUUCAGCAAGGGCCUGCGAUUCUGAAUGCAUUAAAGGCAGCUCCAGUUGUCUGUAGCAGUCCUCUGUCAGCUGCCCGUCAGGAGCAUUUUUACUGGCUCAGGAAAUUCACGGAUCUCUGGACUGAUGACUCCAACAGAUUAGGUAUGAAUCCAAGAACCACAAAACAAAAUCUAAGCAAGCUAAACAACCACCAAACACCAAAGCAAAACGAAAAACUCCAUGUGGUCUAGUAUUCCUUUUCCUUGUAUAAUAUAUAAAACCCUAAAUACUCCACGUGCAUUUUUUAAAAACUCUAUUCGAUAUAAAAUAUGAAAUAAGCAAAAGUGCAGGAUAGAAAAUGAAUAUACAGAAAUCAGUUGCAUUUCUAUAUAUGAACAGUGAACAAUACAAAAGGGAAAUUUAAAAAACUACUCCAUUUACAAUAGCAUUAAAAAGAAUAGAAUACAUAGCACUAAACUUAAGAAACUGAAGAUCUGUACACUGAAAACUAUGAAAUAUUACAAAUAAAAAUUAAAGAAGACCUAAAUCAGUGGAAAGAUAUCCAAUGUUCAUGGUUGGGAAGAUCUACUACUGUUCCAGUGAUGAUACUACUGAAACGGAUCAACAGAUUCACUGCAAUGCCUACUAAAAUGCCAAUGACAGGCCGGGCGGUGGCUCACGCCUGUAAUCCCAGCACUGUGGGAGGCCGAGGCGGGUGGAUCACAAGGUCAAGAGAUCGAGACCAUCCUGAUCAACAUGGUGAAAUCCCAUCACUACUAAAAAUACAAAAAAUUAGCUGGGCAUGGUGGCGCAUGCCUGUAAUCCCAGCUUCUCGGGAGGCUGAGGCAGGAGAAUUGCCUGAACCCAGGAGGCGGAGGUUGCGGUGAGCCGAGAUCGCGCCAUUGCACUCCAGCCUGGGUAACAAGAGCGAAACUCCGUCUCAAAAUAAUAAAUAAAUAAAAUAAAAUAAAAUGCCAAUGACAGCCAGGCAUAGCAGUGAGUACCUGCAGUCCUAGCUACCCAGAGGCUGAGGCUAAAGACCUGCUUAAACCCAGGGGUUUAAGGCCACAGUAAGCUAGGGUCACACCACUGCAUUCCAGUCUAGAUGACAGAACAAGAUCUGUCAAAACACAAAUAAUCUGGACAUUGUUUGCAGAAAGAGAGAAAUCUAUCAUAAGAUUUAUAUUGAUCUUUAAGAAGCCCAAAGAGCCAGCUGGGCACAGUGGCUCAUGUCUGUAAUCCCAGCACUUUGUGAGGCUGAGGCAGGUGGAUCACAAGGUCAAGAGAUCAAGACCAUCUUGGCCAACAUGGUGAAACCCCGUCUCCUUAAAUAAAUAAAUAAGAAGCCCAAAGAGCCAAAACAAUCUGGAAAAAGAACAAAUUUUAAGGACUCACACUUCCUGAUUUCAAAACUUACUACAAAACUAUAGUAAUUAAAACAGUGUGAUAUUAACAUAAAGACAGACACAUAGACCAAUGGAAUAGAAUACAGAGCUCAGAAACAAUCUCUCAAGAAUAUGGUCAAAUGACCCUCAACAAAGGUGCCAAGACCAUUUACUGGGGAAAUGAUGGUCUUUUCACCAAAUGAUGGAACUGGAUACACACAUGUAAAUGAAUGAACGCAGUCCCUUCCCUUAUUUUAUAUAUAAAAAUUAACUUGAAAUAGAUGAAAGAUCUAAACAUAAGCCUCAAACUAUAAAACUCUUAGAAGAAAAUAUAGGGCAAAGUCUUCAUGACAUUGGAUUUGGCAAUAUCUUGGAUAAGAUACCAAAAACAGAGGCAACAGAAGUAAAAAUAAAUUAGACUACAUCCAAAUUUGAAAUGCCUGUUCAACAAAGGACACGAUCAAUACAGUGAAAAAACAACCCCACAGUGGGAGAACAGAUUUGUAAAUCAUAUAUCUGAUAAGGAAUUCAUACCCAGAAUAUGUAAAGAACUCCCAAAACUUAACAACAGCAAAAAAACAAAUAAUUCAAUUUAAAAAUGGGUAGAGUUGAACUGACGUUUCUCCAAAGAAGAUAUAAAAAUGGCCAAGAAGUAUGUUAAAAAUUUGCUCAACAUUUCUAAUCGUUAGAGAAGUUCACAACAAAACUUCAAUGAAAUAUCACCUUACACCCUUUAGGAUGGUUAUUCCAAAAAAAAAGGAAAAGAGCGUUGGCCAGGAAAUGGACAAAUUAAGACCCUCAUGCACUGCUGCUGGGAAUGUAAGAUCAGUAUGGCACUUCCUCAAAAAGUUAAAAAUAGAAUUACCAUAUGGUCCAGCAAUCAGAAAAUUAUGUUAUGUAUCUAAAGGAAUUGAAAGCAAGGUCUCAAAGAGAUAUGUGCACAACCAUGUUCACAGCAGCCAAAAAGGGGAAGCAACCCAAAUGUGCACCAGUGGAUGAACGGAUAAACGAAAUGUGAUACAGACAUACAAUGGAAUAUCAUGCAGCCUAAAAGAAUAAGAAAAUCCGGCCGGGCGCGGUGGCUCAAGCCUGUAGUCCCAGCACUUUGGGAGGCCGAGGCGGGUGGACCACGAGGUCAAGAGAUCGAGACCAUCCUGGUCGACAUGGUGAAACCCCGUCUUUACUAAAAUACAAAAAAUUAGCUGGGCAUGGUGGCGCGUGCCUGUAAUCCCAGCUACUCGGGAGGCUGAGGCAGGAGAAUUGCCUGAACCCAGGAGGUGGAGGUUGCGGUGAGCCGAGAUCGCGCCAUUGCACUCCAGCCUGGGUAACAAGAGCGAAACUCCGUCUCAAAAAAAAAAAAGAAUAAGAAAAUUCUUACAUGCUAUUCUCAUUAUGCUAAGUGAAAUGGGCCAGUCACAAAAAGGCAGAUACUGUGAGAUUCUAUUCAUAUAAGGCAUCUAAAGCAGUCAAAUAAUAGGAAAAGUAGAAGCAGCUCAAGAAAAGGGCAAAUGGGAGUUUUCUAAAGGGUACAGAGUUUCUGUGUUUUCUAAGAAUAAAAACAAGUUCUGAAAAUAGUUGUACAGCAAUGUAAACCAACAACGCUACUGAAUUGUACACUUGAAAUGGCUAACAUAGUAGAUUUUAUGUUACGUGUAUUCCACCAUAAUUAAAAUUAAAAAAGAGGUCCCGUCACAUAAUAAGAAAUUGCAUAAUACCCUUUUAUUUUUAUUAUUAUUUAUUUAUUUAUUUAUUUAUUUAAUUGGAGACGGAGUUUCACUCUUGUUACCCAGGCUGGAGUGCAAUGGCGCGAUCUCGGCUCACCGCAACCUCCGCCUCCUGAGUAGCUGGGAUUACAGGCACGCGCCACUCUGCCCAGCUAAUUUUUUGUAUUUUUAGUAGAGACUAAACAUGGUUUCACCAUGUUGACCAGGAUGGUCUCGAUCUCGUGACCUAGUGAUCCACCCGCCUUGGCCUCCCAAAGUGCUGGGAUUACAGGCGUGAGCCACAGCACCCGGCCUUAUUAUUUUUUUUUUAAGUCGGGGUUUCACCAUGUUGGUCAGGCUGGUCUUGAACUCCCGACCUCAGGUGAUCCGCCCGCCUUGGCCUCCAAGGUGCUUGGAUUACAGGCGUGAGCCACCACACCCAGCGCAUAAUGGCCUUUUAAAUAAAUAGUAUAUCAAAGGUAAAAAUUUAAGACUAGGCAUGGUGGCUUAUACCUGUAAUCUCAGCACUUUGAGAGGCCAAGGCAGGUGGAUUGCUGGGGCCCAGAAGUUCGAGACCAACCUGGGCAACAUGGCACAACCAUGUCUGUACAAAAAAAACAAAAUUCAGCCAAGCAUGGUGGUACACACCUGUAGUUCUAGCUAGUUGGGAAGCUGAGGUAGGAGGAUUACUGGGGCCUGGGAGGUCAAGGAUGCAGUCAGCUGUAAUCAUGCUACUGAACUCCAGCUUGGGUGACAGAGUGAGACCCUGUCUGAAAAAAAUUUAAAAAUAAAAAUAAAAAUUUAAGAAUAUAGAAUUGGCUGUUUAGAAACAGUGAAAAAAUACACUCCCUCAUCACACCUUAAAAUAUAUGGGUUAUAGCCAGAAUUGUACUCAGAGGUAAAUUCAUAGCCUUAAAUCGUUUAAUUAUCAAACAAUAAAGAAUGAAUAUGAGUAAACUACGCUCCAAACAAAAAUUCCCAUUGAAAUGACUAAGAAAACAUAAGGGAAUAAAAAUUGUACCUAUCACUGACUACCUUUCACAAGCCAGAAAUGGAGGAAUUUUCAACAGACAUUGUUCAGAGAGGACAGGACUAGAAGAAGAUACAGAAAAUUAACCUGUGAGCCCAGGAUCACACUGUCAAGUUCCCUGCUGUGCUCUCAGGCCUCCGCCUGAGUGAAGAUCUACAAAAAUCCAAACCUUCCCCUCCCUCUACAUCUGGAACUGAAAGUCAUAGAAGGGAGACAGAGACCACCUGGACUUCUGCUGGGUGACAGGCCAGGGCAGGGCAGCAGCCAGCACAGCACCUGACAUACGGCAGGUACUUGAGUUGUUUCUGCUGCACAAAGAAAGGAAGGAUGAGCAGCCGGAGAACAGUGCACUGGCCAGCCAAGCACUGCAGCUUCCCUGCGCGGGCCAGCCUGAAGAAUCAGAGCUGGGCCCUACACUGAAGGCACUUUGUCCAGGAAAUUGAAGAAGCCUCAGGAGAAGGAAUGCCCUGGGGCUCCAGAGGCUCAGAGGCGCUGCCUUGGUGAGGCCACCUCUGCAUCUAGAAUGACCAGGGAGUGGGCCACCCAAGUAAUCUGUAGAGUCCAAGGUGGAGAUGGGCAAGGAGCAAGGAUGGUGGUGUCCCAGGUACUAAUGAUGGCUUUUAUCCUGAAGGGGAUGGGAAGACUCAUGGGAGGAAGUCAUAAACAUUUGCUGAAGGGUGGGCAAGAAAACCAGGCUCAGUGCAGGAGCUUCCAAGGCUCUGGCAAAAGGAGCCCCUACCAGCUGCAGGAGAAUCGACAUGGGACACUGCUCGAAUCCCACCCAGUCCCCUCCUCACUGUCCAAGCUUGCUGUCCUCAGAUGUGGGGGACGCUCCUGUCCUACCAAGGUCGUCACUAUUGGUGGGUGAUAUAGUUUGGAUAGUUGUCCCCGCCCAAAUCUCAUGUUGAAAUGUAAUCCCCAAUUCUGGAGGAGGGGCCUGGUGGGAGAUGAUUGGAUUGUGGGGGCAGAGUUCUCAUGAAUGGUUUCACACCAUCCCCUUAGUGCUGUCCUUGCGACAGUGAGUGAAUUCUCAUGAGAUCUGGCUGUGUAAAAGUGUGUGGCACCUCCCCUCCUCUCUCUCUCCUCCUCCUGCGUUCACCAUGUGAAGUGUCUGCUCUGGAUUCCCCUUCCAUCAGGACUGGAAGCUCCCUGAGGCUCCCCCGAAGCUGAUGCUGGAGCUCUGCUCCCUGUACAGCCUGCAGAACCACGAGCCAAUUAAACAUUUUUUUUUUUUUUUUUUUUUUUUUUGGAGACGGAGUUUGGCUCUUGUUACCCAGGCUGGAGUACAAUGGCGCGAUUUCGGCUCACCGCAACCUCCACCUCCUGGGUUCAGGCAGUUCUCCUGCCUCAGCCUCCUGAGUAGCUGGGAUUACAGGCACGCGCCACCAUGCCCAGCUAAUUUUUUGUAUUUUUAGUAGAGAUGGGGUUUCACCAUGUCGACCAGGAUGGUCUCGAUCUCUUGACCUAGUGAUCCACCUGCCUCGGCCUCCCAAAGUGCUGGGAUUACAGGCGUGAGCCACAGCGCCCGGCUAAACUUUUCUUUAUAAAUUACCCAGUCUCGGCUGGGGGUGGUAGCUCACGCCUGUAAUCCAGUCACUUUGGAGGCCAAGAUGGGCAGAUCACCUGAGGUUGGGAGUUCAAGACCAGCCUGACUAACAUGGUGAAACCCCGUCUUAAAAAAAAUAAAAAUAAAAUAAAUAAAUUACCCAGUCUCGGGUAUUUAUUUCACAUAAGAACAGCCUAAUACAGUGGGGUAGAGAGGCUCUAAGUAAGCAGAGCAGGACAGGUGGGCUUAGGGUUGUGGGGGAGCACCAGCCUACAAACUGGACCUCAAGACCCAGGGUUCCCCAGGGCACACGGCUGUGAGCCUGGAUCACUGGGGCACAGGCAGCCUCCUCCCUUGCACCACACUGUGGGGCCUGCCUGCACCCACCCCCAGCAACACUGAACCUCUGGAAGACCCUAGCUUCCAGACACCAUCCCCUUAAAUCGUUUAAUUAUCAAACAAUAAAGAAUGAAUAUGAGUAAACUACGCUCCAAACAAAAAUUCCCAUUGAAAUGACCAAGAAAAGACAAAAGUCUGUGAACAUGAAGCUUUAAUUUAAAAUUAACCAAUGCCUCUGUUUCAUCGGUUUGGUAAAUAAACGUCUGGAAUUCUUUCUUCAAAUACAAAUAAUAGCUGAAUUAGUCUGGUCACAAACAAUAGUUCCCUGCAGAUGGGCAAAUACCAUGGAAAUGUCAUCAAAAAGGCUGCAAAAGGAAGGUGCGCUUGCCUGGGGAUGGGCUGGCUUGCUGAGCCUCGGUUUCCCCAGUGUAAGACACUCCCCUCCCACAUAUUCUGAGGCCCGGGAGGAAGAUGGGUCUCACCCAAGUCCCUGGCCCCAGUCGAGUCUGGACUGCAGCAGGUAGAAUGGGGCUGAGGGACUCCAGCUGAGAGAAGGUGGAACCAGGUAGGGUCCUAACCACGCCCUGUCCUCACCAGGGCACUGGACAGGUUGCCAGCCCUCC
Callithrix jacchus (white-tufted-ear marmoset) is the source of this 11519-nucleotide long non-coding RNA. RefSeq lists it as uncharacterized. NCBI's taxonomy places the organism in Eukaryota, Metazoa, Chordata, Mammalia, Primates, Cebidae. The record is from RefSeq and is a predicted model, not a curated record.